Molecule: ribosomal RNA, 252 nt
Filed under: uncultured bacterium
Lineage: Bacteria
Description: partial 16S ribosomal RNA
Rfam family: Archaeal small subunit ribosomal RNA
Source: RNAcentral
ACCGGCAGCUCAAGUGGUAGCUGUUUUUAUUGGGCCUAAAGCGUUCGUAGCCGGUUUGAUAAGUCUUUGGUGAAAGCUUGUAGCUUAACUAUAAGAAUUGCUGAAGAUACUGUCAGACUUGAAGUCGGGAGAGGUUAGAGGUACUACCGGGGUAGGGGUGAAAUCCUAUAAUCCUGGGAGGACCACCUGUGGCGAAGGCGUCUAACUGGAACGAUCUUGACGGUGAGUAACGAAAGCCAGGGGCGCGAACCG